GUGUGUGCAGGGGCAGAAUGUGCCAGAAUGUGCCAGAAUGUGCCGGCUCUCACCUUGCCCAGCUGCCGCUGAGAAAAACAAAGCACAAAGAGGGACCUGAAGUAUCUCCUUCUCAGAAGCCUGAUAAGGGACUGGAGUGGUGGCCAGAGCCGUGGAAUCCAACAAGAGGAACAUUACGUGGCAUGUGGCAUGGGGGGUAUUUCCAGAGGGUUCCAUCAGAGGGGCGGUGAGAAGCUCGGACUCACCUCCAGGAAGGGGUCCUGGGGUCCCUCCACGAACAGUCCAGACGUGAACGUACUUCAUCAAAGGGAAAGGGUCUGGGUUCAGGCGCCGGGGCCCCGUGAGUUUGGCUGCAAAAUAAAUUGCCCGGAAGAGAGAUUUUCAAGGCCGACCUUCCAUGUGGCUCAGAACGCUUACAUCCACCCGGGUCAAGGGGCCCCCUGCCCCCAAACUAGCCACCAGCUUCCCCCCCCCCACCUCCGGAACCGGAGCCACCCCAAACUUCUUUGCUUGUUGUGAGAAAGUAGUUGCGGACCAUGAAGAAACGGAUGGGUGUGGCUGCGUUCCAAUAAAACUUUAUGUAUAAAAUGGGCGCAGCCGGCCCCCGGGUUAUGGAAUUAAAGGGACUGGUUUGGAAUCUGGGUGCAGGCACCUGGCGUGAGAGAGAGGUCAUCCCAGCAGCAAGCCUACCCUUGUCCACGAGUAGGGUCCCAACCAAACUCCCUCUGGGGUAGGGGAGACCCUUCAGACAGUCACGGUAGCCCCCCCACCCAGCUCCCCCGCAAGGCAAGGAGGUGUCUUGUGUUUACAAACAUCACUAAUGAUCUCAGGGACCAGUUUGAGGGCAGAGGACUGAUUGUCCUGAGUCCCAGCGGUCCCCAGUGGCCUACGUGGACCCUGCUGGCCAGUGAUGAAAGCACCAGCUUGAGCUGGGGUCCUGUGUGUCCCCGGGGCAGCACCGCCCAGGAGGCCUGAGACGGCUGGCCAGUCCUCGCCACCCUUCCUUUAAGGUGGAGGGAACUGUCUCCACGCUAACAGCCACCCUCGGCCAGACACGUUGGGCUGGGGGCUUCCCACGUUCAUUGCAUUUGUACCCCCAGUGGACAGUAACCGGGGUAAACCCAGCUUACGUGUGCAGGUUCAGCAAGGCCAAGGAACCGGCCGCCCCACAGCGGUGGGGGGAGAUCCAUACACCCCAAAGCUCUGCUCUCCCUCCCUGUGGUCCAGGCUCCCCCCUCCCAAGGUGGAAAUGCUGGGGACACCUGUGCUCACCCCCGACCUUGGCAGACCUUUGAUAGGAAGCCGCCUCCCCAGGGGACCCGGAGGGCAUCCCUCACUGCUGGGGCUGUUUCUGGGAGUUAGAGGGGGACGAAUGCUCCUAGCUGCCUCUCCACUGAUCUCCCCCACCCCACCCCUCCCCCCCCGCUCCCCCCCCCCCCCGCAGGCUGUUGGGAGGUGAGACUUCAGUGUGGGUGGGGCUUGGUGGAUUCCCUCCAGCGCCUCAACAGAGAGGAUCUGAUAAGGUUAUAAUAGCGCCUUCUCCAUCAUCUCCUUGGGGAGCUCCAAGGAUGACCUCACCCCCGCAACUACCUAUGAGCCAAGAGAACAGGGCUGGGCCUCCCAUUCUAGAAAGGGAAAGAGGGCACCAAGGGGUUCCCUGUGGAAUAGGGAAUAGGCCCCGCCUUCCAGCCCCUCCCAGGCACAGCUGGUCCCCCACCCUCACUCUGACUGUUGAUCGCUAAGCACACAGCGGACACCUUCUAUAUGAAACAUGCUUUGCUUGGGGACAGGUCCCCAGCUAGAUCAGGGGUGAGGGCGAGAGUGGGGUGGGGCAGCCCGCUGAGGGCCUGGGUUUCCAGGUUUUCUGUUAAGGGCAGUGCUCUGUGGAACUGUGUGGCCAGAGCUGGGCCCAGGCACACGAGCAUGUCGCCUGCAGCGGUGGGACAGGCCAGCCCGGAGCGGGGAGGGCCACCUCCGGGAGAAGAGGGCUGAGAUGGGGUUGGUAUUAGUGGGGCAUCUCACACCGUGGAUGUCCCUCAGAUUAAUGCGCUGAGAUCACACACACAGGAUUCCCAAGGAACCCACCGAUGUCAAAGCACAGGUCCGCGAAAAUGAAACCCAGUGAGAGAGCAUCGUACCCGCUUCUUUGUGGACACCUUUGAUGGUAAGAUCAGGCUGCUGGGUGCAAUGACACCGCUGUUUCCACGCGGCGAGGCACCUCCACAGUGUCUCGAGCGGGAAGGGGCACGUGUGACAUGAUGUGAAAACAUCCGAGGGCUCGGCCAACGCCACUGAGGCUCACUGUUUGCGUUCUAAAUGAGACCGUUCAAAAAUUCAUUUAAAGGUAGGUAAAAAUAGGAUUUACUUCUUUUCUCCUGAAAGAAACUUUUUUUCUAAAAUGAAGAGAGGUGAGGUCAAUAGGCCUUAUCAAAGGUCAGGGGUGUGAGAAACACCGAGGUUAUCCCGGACCCCGAAGCGUGGCUGUUGGGGUGCAUGGUGAGGGGGCCCUAAGAAAAUUAGAAGUGGGUUGGAAUCCCCCGGUUUGAGCAGAA
This is a long non-coding RNA of Prionailurus viverrinus (fishing cat), 2552 nucleotides long. RefSeq lists it as uncharacterized. The transcript is spliced from 3 exons. Lineage: Eukaryota; Metazoa; Chordata; Mammalia; Carnivora; Felidae. The record is from RefSeq and is a predicted model, not a curated record.